This 250-nucleotide long non-coding RNA is filed under the name Carica papaya (papaya). RNAcentral describes it as "long non-coding RNA (CPAP_LNC015803)". Lineage: Eukaryota; Viridiplantae; Streptophyta; Magnoliopsida; Brassicales; Caricaceae. The record is from RNAcentral.
AUUCUAGAUGGGGAAAUAAUAAGGACCCAAGGAUAGGUUGGUGAUUCACAACAGUAAUUGGGGAUCCCUUAUGCUCUAAAUGGAUAUAUGUUGCAAUGGCUUCGCAUGAAGGUCAAUAAAAGAUAAAUAAAAUUUAAGUAUUGUUUAGAGCAUCAUCCUUGAUCUAUAUGAUGGUAAUUCCAUAUUUUGGUGUAUCGUUUAUACUUUCUAAUGAUCUUCUUAUUGCCAUUUUGUUUAACUUCUCUGUUUA